UACCUUUGCGCACUUAAAUUAAAACGUUUUACAUAACAAUCAUUCAAGUAAUAUUGGCAUG
Molecule: non-coding RNA, 61 nt
Filed under: unclassified sequences
Description: S15-Flavobacteria ribosomal protein leader
Rfam family: S15-Flavobacteria ribosomal protein leader
Source: RNAcentral